Molecule: long non-coding RNA, 2490 nt
Filed under: Nicotiana tabacum (common tobacco)
Lineage: Eukaryota; Viridiplantae; Streptophyta; Magnoliopsida; Solanales; Solanaceae
Description: long non-coding RNA (NTAB_LNC010716)
Source: RNAcentral
AUCGUGAUGGCGCCUAACGCCGCCGUCAGGCAAGCCAACGGUAAUUUACCAAAUUAAUUACUCAUCUUAGAAAUUUGAAAUCAAAGUUUUUCCUUAAUUAGACAGUAUAAAAAUAGAAUUUACACAGUAAAUGAAAAUAUCUGCACUAACCACAAUAGUGAAUAACCUGUAAGAACACCCAAAACCCGGUGUCACAAGUGCAUGAGUAUCAACUAGGAAAUAUGAUAAAAGACAGCAUAUGUAUGGAAUAUAGAUUAGACAGGGGAAUGUAAAUAAUUUUGAUGGAGACUCUGUAUGCUGCGGAUUCGUAACAUGGAAUGCAGCUCACCGUAAGUCCCCGCAAUAGUUGCGCCUCUGCGCCUAGAAAACCACUAGACUUAUAUGUACCUGCACAAAAAUAUACACCAAGUGUAGUAUGAGUACGUAAAUCAACCUGUACCCAGUAAGUAUCGAGCCUAACCUCGAAUAAGUAGUGACGAGAGGUCGACAUCGACACUUACUAAAGAUCUAAUAAAGAAACAUAAUAAAGGCGUAAGCAAAUAUGAAGUACACAACAAUAGUGGGGUAAAUUUGUAAGGUUUAUAAUCUUCCAAUUAUUCCUUUUAAAGCAUAAGUUUCUCGAUAUUGUAUUCUACAUUAAUAUCUUAGAAAGUUUCAAAGUGUCAAUACCAAUUAAGCAAGAAAUACCAUAAAAUGUCGGGCUUCAGUGGGAGGUUUAUCUUGUGAAUAUUCGAACUACUAGCGAUAACGCACGAUUCUGCCGAGGUCGUUCGGCCCGAUCCGGAAUAACGUGUACACUACCGAGUGACGUGCGGCACGAUCCAUAGAUGCAUCUAUACUGCCGAGGUGUUCGGCCCGCUCCACAAGAAAGGAAGACACUUUAUGAACCUUCGGAAUGAGAAGCUAUCAUAAGGCUAACACAUAGGGAUGUACAAUUACUAUUAGCGGUCGAUAUUUGCACAAAAAUUCAAGUAUGUGAAAUUUUGAUCUUUUACUAUUUGCUCUAACAAUUUCCAAAAUAAUUCAAGUACUUCAAUUAAUAAAGGGUGCAAAUAUUACAAGUAAUUCAUGAUUUGGGUCCUAAACUACCCGUACAUAGCAUAAUUAGUAGCUACGUACGGACUCUCGUCACCUCGUGCGUAUGUAGCCCCCACAAUUAGCAGUAUAUAAUAAUUUAAAUCAUCUAUGGGGGUAAAUUUUCUCUUAUAAGGUUAGACAAGAGACUUACCUCACUCCGAAAUUCCAUAACCGACUCCAACACCACUCAAACACCUCAACCCGAUGCCCGUCUCUUCAAACUAGUCAAACAAAUAUACACCAGUACGUAUAAUUUAACAAUUUAUAAUAAUUUUCAGCUUCGCUCAAAAGCCAACAAAGUCAACCCUCGAGCCCACGCGCCCAGAUUUCGGAAAUGUUUGAAGAUAAACUUUACCCAUAACACCAAGAACUCAAAUAUAUAAUUUAUUCUUAAUUCCAUGCCCAAUUUCGUGGUCAAAAUCCAAAAAUACCAAAUUUUAUAUUUUCUCCCAAAAUCCCAAAUUUCUACUAAUUUUCAUAUUUAAAUCCAUAUAUAAACCGUGUAUUAAACUUGUAAUAAAACUAAGACGGAGGACUACGGAAAAUAAUUGAAAACUAAGCUCAAUAGAAGACUAUAUGGAAUCAAUAAAGAUUAGCUCAAAAAAAAAUAACUAAAUAAAAUCCAAUAAAGCACAUACACACCGAUAAUGAGAAAUCAGAGACGAAGAGAAGAACCCCAAAAUAGUUUCAUCUUCACCUUUUUAAUAAUCAAAACUUAUCGUCCAAUUUAUGAUCUUAUUAAACUCAUGAUGAUAAGAGAAUUAGUGUAAAAUACCAAAGCAGCUAAGUAGGAAGGCAUUGAUACAGUAGACAAGAGAAUGAAUUGAACAUUAUAUAGAGGAGAAAGAAUUUCAGCACCUAUCACUCUUACGAAAUCCAAAAAAAAACAGUAAGAAAAAGUCAAAAAUCAUUAUUAUUUAUAUUCCACACAACAAGCACAAAUUAAGAAAAAUAAAUAAAUAAAUAAAUAAAGUUAUCAAAAUGUGCUGAAACAUAACAAAUAAACUACUAAUUUAUGAUAUACGAAGUAAAAAUUGAAGCAAGGUAGAAAAAGGAAAGGACCUUUGUAUUAUAUAAUUUUGCCUUGAAUGUGAAUGCACCUCGAAUUCGAACAAAGCACAGGUUACUACGGACUAUAUCUCAGCCUCAAUCACUCGACAUCAACUCAACCAACGAAAUCGAUCUCCAUUACGUUGCUUUGAUAGAUUAAUUUCAACCCAGCUGAAUUUGGAUAGAAUAUAGCCAUUGUUUAUGUUCAAAAAGGAAUAUGAGUAAGAUGAGUGAUUGUGAGAUUUCAAGCUCUCUUUCUUUUUGUUGUUUUCGUAUCUUUCAUUUUUGUUUCCUUUUUCUUCUUUUUUUAGGUGCCUUUUUCGUGUCCCUUUCCCCAAAAAACCAGCCCCUCCUUAUCGUUUC